AAGAAGAGGGAUCUAUUGCAAGGAAGUUACGGUACCCAAAUAAAAGUAAAAGGAAAGCCCCCCCCCACCUCCUUGUCCCUAGCUACCCAGUCUUUCCAAUUCCAUUUUUUGCUCCAGCCUAAUGAAUGCAUUUUAAAGUACAACUCGCAGUGCUCUCUCUUUGCUCCCUGCCUUCCUACUCCUGCAAAUAGCAGCUCUGCCGCUCGCUCUUUCAGAUCCACUUCAAGGGAACAGAGACUUGAAAACUGUCCCCCACGGUUUCGUCUGCCCUGGCUGCGGCUGGCUGGCUCGGGUGGCCGCAGUCGGGGAACCUGCCAGGUAGAAAGAAAUGGAACUUCAUAUAUACGUGGUAAAAAGUGUGGACUGGUGACCAGCUCAUUCCAUUCACUGGGAGAGAAAAGAAAUAUACUUCCUCUAGGACUGCAGCAGAUAGCCGCUGAAUACCUGCUUCAAAUCACCUUUCACUUGUUCUUGUUGGAAAGACAACCAUGGGAGAAUCGUCUGGUUACCUUCAGCAAAAGCAGAAACAAAUCAAGACAUUAAGCUUGAAGCUCUGGCAUAGCGGUGUGGGGAGGGGGGACAGGGGCAAGAUACGUAACCCUAACAAUAUAUGUACCCACAGAAUUUGAGAUAAUAAAAAAAAUUAAAAAAAAAAAGAAAGAAAGAAAAGAAAGCCACGGUGACCGGCAGUUACACCAGCUUCGGCAGAGGAAGUUUUCCAGAGUGUGCCUCACUAGCCAGAAAUCAGAAAAGAUGGAAGCUAUCCUUUCUGUCUCAGUUGCUCCUUAAAUCAAUGCAAUUCCUCCAAAUUAAUGUGAAUUGAAACAUGCAUUGCUUUUCAACUUAAUUGAGUUCUUACUAUGUGUGAAUCACUACACCAAAUAGGGGAGAGAAAAUGAGGGAGGCCAAUAAGAUGUGGAGCCUGCCUUCAGUGAAUUUACAAUUAAUUUCAGGGCACAUUUUUUCCUUCUGCUCUUAAUUGGGUGUAACCCUAAGACAAGAAAUAAAUGAAGGGAAAAGCAUAUUCUGCAAAUAUGUUAAGUCCCUUUAAUAAGAAACAAAACAAAACAAAACACACAAAAUAACUCCUAAUGUGGGCACCUCAGGACAUUUUUUAAUUCCAUUUUUUGUUGGAUUUCUGACAGGAUCCAUUUUAUUGAUUCCAUAAUAUUGAGUAGACUUUAGAGAUAUUAAAGCAUUAUGGUUAAUUUGAAUUAAGUUCUAUUUUUUCCCUUAGAUAUGGAUUGCCUGUUGGAAAAACAUAAGAGUAGGAAGGUGAAUUACACCUGUUAUCUCCGUAGUCCUCUACCUUCCACGCCCUAGAGGCCUGCCAUUCUGAGCGAUUAGUAUGCAGAAGAGGAAGGUUUGCAUCAAACUUGGGCGAUGGUACUCACGAACCCAAGAUAGGAGGGGGAAGGAGCAAAAAACACCUGGGAAGUGGCUCUGUAUGAAAAUUUGGCAUAGUAAUUAUAUCAGUAUUCAUUGUAUUGUCCUUUGUGUUCCAUAAAUUGAAUAACUAUACAAUUUUUCCAAAAAUUUAUUCCUGAUCUGAGAAUAUGCCACGAUUUUUCCAGUGUUAAGACACUGAUAUGACUCUAUGUACUAGACAUUUUAUGUAGUGUCUGUGACAUAUUUUAGUAUGUAUGAGCCAACAAUAGACAUGUCUUUGUCUUGAGUAGUGUCCAUCUGAAUUGAAAUUGUGCCAGCUUUUUUUUAACAUCAUCAACAGACUUCUUAAUUAAGCUGCCAAUAUAUACUGCCAAUAGCACUGUCUGCUGAGAAAUGAAUUGUGUAAGUGAUGUUUCCAUCUUAUUAAAUAAACAAUGUUGCUCUGUUUAAAAUGGAUUUAAAGUAUUCUUUGAAUGGGCCAUUAUAUUGCUCCCUAAAUUAUUUGAUGAGAAUCCUUAUACCAUCCCUUUUAAUUUCUAAAAACUAUUAUUUUGUUCUUCAGUAAGAAAUAGCUCUAAUUGGACCAUAACUUUAGUUACAUGAUUAAUCCUUAAUAGUAUGAAUUGCCCCACCCCCAAACUCCUGGUCAUGUGUGACACUGGAUAUUUGUUAUAUCACUUUCAGUUCAAAUCUUAGUUAUUAUAUUAACUUGUGUUAAACUAAACUAUAGCUAUUUAUUUCCUGUUUUGGGAAUUUUUUUGGAGGGUACAUCUCUGUAUUACUGAUGCAGAGUGCCUGGUGCACAGUAGGUCUGUGGUCAGUAAACAUUUUGGUGAUCAAGGAAUAUAAAGUAUUAAUAACCCUUUUUCACUUUUGGCUCUUAAGCUCUGUAAACGACAGAGGGAUCUUGCUAACAGAAUAGCACCUUUAUUGGUUUGUAGUUUACAAUCAGUCUGCUUAGAAUGAGUCCAAAAAAACUGGAAAUUUUUAUGUAGUCUGGUCCAUUGGGCCUCUUAAUUGGUGUCUUGUGUUCACCAGUUCAGCCCUGUCAUUUGUACCAAUGUCCACCUGCUGCCACUGGGCAGGUGCCCUUGCCCGACUCUCUACACAGGGGUGGCCUUCAGAGUGGCUGCUACACUUCUCCUCUGGCUUGUCCAUCAAUAGAAUAGCAAUCACUCUGUUCACUGGGUACUCACUAUGUGCUAGGUGCUGAGCUAAGUGCUUUACGUAUAUUUUCCCACUUAAUUACUCAUUUAAACCUCACAACCACCAUUUGAAGUAGGCGCUAUCCACUAUAGAGGUAUGUAUCUUGCUUAAGUCUUGGGGCUCCAAAUCCAGAUCUCUUAGACUCCAAAUUCCAAACUAUUAACCCCUACCCUCUGCUGCAUCCCAGGAGAAAUUUCCAGUGCAUGUUGUAUGUGGUGGGAGGGCAUAUCAAAUCUGGACAUAGUCCAGAUUGAUUGCAUUUAAUAUUCCUGAACACCAACCUGUCUCACAGACAAAAUCCAGCAAAUCACAGUUGUUUUGUGAAUGGGGGAAGGGCAGAACAAUUGGGAGAAAGCAAAGUUGGAAACAAACCAAUUUGAGUCAAACCUUUUAGACUUUACCUCAUACUGCUUUUUUUUUUUAACUUUCUUUUUUUAACAUGGCCUGACACCAUGUGAUAAAUCAAAGCCUGACGUAAUUGACCCAGAAUUGAUCCCCAAAUGUCUUUUGGGGGAACAUGCUUUAACUCUGGUUGUUGAUUCUGAGGAAUAAUUGCCACUCUAGAAAGGUAAUUACAUAUGCCAUUGUUUAUACACAUAAUAGGCUCAGAAUGCAUGUUCUGCACAGAGGGAGAGAGAAUCCUGCUCGCACAUUAGGGGUGUGACUACGUAUUGUGUCAGAAUGCCACGAAUAGCAUUUGAACGGCUCCCGAUUACUGCUAAUCUCCCUACAUGUGAGUGUGAGUAAGUGUGUAAGGGAGAGGUUGGGAGUGAGGAAGGGAUGGGCCAUAGAAGGCUGCUGAGCUGAAGGGCAGCAAUUUGUUUUUCCUUAAUUUUUUCAUUUACCAAAACAUCUUUUGGAUCUGAUUCAUUUAGCUUAGUCUGGUAAAAAGACUGUUUUCUCUCUGCGUGGCAUAUGCUUAUUAAUGAGUUCUCAUAUUUCUUUCCAUCAAGGGCUGUUUACUUUGUGGAAAUGCAUAGUGAGAAUCGUUCUCCACAACAUCCUACUAAAUGCCCUGGUUUUGACCACCCCUUUAAGUACACCAAACAGGCAGUUAAGACGGUAGCCAGUGCCUUUCCUCUUACUAUGCUUUCUGGUAAAACAGAAAUGGAAUUUAAACCACAAAUCACCAAUUAAAGCAUUUCAUGCCUUUCCCUUUACCCAGAAGACAGUAGUUAUCCUAAGUAAAUACAACAAAAAGGCUAUUCUGUGGUAGUCUAACACUAGCAACUUAUUUUUUUUUUUAAUCAAAGCCUUAAAUAAAACCCAAAUAUCAUGACUUUUUGUAGUGCUGCACAAUGAAAGAAAUACGUAUGUAUUCCAAUAUGGAACUGAGCAUUGUUUGAGGCCGAAGCAAUUCAUCGUGGACUAUUCUCUGCCACGGUGUCCAGCAAAUUGCAUGACCUGCUUGUUAGGCUUGACAACAGUGUUUUACCUAACAAAGGCCUCUGCAGCGCCGAGCAGCAGUGGAAUGUCAGAAUGAGCACGUCUCACGCACAGAUGUGCAGCCAUAAUGGCCUAUAAGAAGAUGCAUGUG
This 4132-nucleotide long non-coding RNA is filed under the name Microcebus murinus (gray mouse lemur). RNAcentral describes it as "lncRNA (ENSMICG00000048295.1)". The record is from RNAcentral. Lineage: Eukaryota; Metazoa; Chordata; Mammalia; Primates; Cheirogaleidae.